Venturia canescens is the source of this 946-nucleotide long non-coding RNA. RefSeq lists it as uncharacterized. Lineage: Eukaryota; Metazoa; Arthropoda; Insecta; Hymenoptera; Ichneumonidae. The record is from RefSeq and is a predicted model, not a curated record. The transcript is spliced from 4 exons.
CGCAAAUCCGACGUCCGUUGGGGUGGAAAGGGAGCUGGGAGUAUUUGCCGAGAAACCGUCACACCGCAGUCCUCCUAUAAUCUACCGUAUACAAGUCACUCCGACGUCUCGCAUGUGGAAGCCCAGCAGAGAGCCCAGGAACAUUAUUUCCUAAGAGUGAAAAGCUACAGCGGAAAAAAAUCGUCUCGCUUCGCCUGGCCGACCGCUAAACCAUGGCGAUGAUCGGUGAGCGGUCACCCAACCAAGUGUCGACUUGGCUCGGGACCGCUUGCAUCGGGAAAUCACCGAAGUUGUACACCAACGGUGCACGCGUCGCAGUUACCACAAUGGGGAUUUCUAAACUCCAUGCGAGAGAAGGCACUUUUCUCCGCAGCGAUGGCACGUUCCCACAGUUUGAAUACCGAAGGAAGGAGCUCCUUCGAGGCGAAGGCGAGCCACUCGACGAGUCGUGAUUCAACUGAAACAUGAGCCGUGCAAAUUCCUCACCUUUGCCCUCAAUUCCAUGUCGGCACGAAAGUGAACGUUUUUUCUACGAUGUUAUGCUACCACCUCCACUCCGUCGGCGGUAUGGACUGCAACUCGGAAGAAUCAAGAAUCGAAAAAAGAUUUGUGACACAUGCGUGCAGAAGAAGCUUUGCGUUUACGAGCCAAUCUCCGCAACCGCGUGCUUCCACGUAUUUAUUCGUUGCCUGAGGGCAUGUUAUUAAAAAAUAAAAAAAUUAUAAGAAAAAAUUAAACUCAUGCGUGCGAGCAGAGCGCUCUCUCGUGAGCUCCCUCGCUCGCUUACUCGCGUACAGCAUUCGCACAAUUGUACGCGGGUCAAGGAGUUCAAGUGAAAGUAUUAAAUAUCAGACAAGACACACCGAUACCUAAGAAGUAUAUCGUAUACAUACGCGUAUGUAUGAGACGCUUUCAGAUACAAAUAUAUCUAUGAACAAAAAAUAUC